ACACGGGAGGGUUCAGAUACGGCGAUUGGACCGGGGCCGUCGAAGGUGUUCUGGAGACUGGAGAGGAGCCCCAUCUGCCAGGAGGAGCCAAGGUUCAUCUCGUGAUCCCCCUCCCUCCUGCUUGCGACCGAUCCUCCUGAAACACCAGCAACAUUCGCAUUUGGACUUACCAGAUCAAACCAUGAAUCCCAAAUUGGAAGCAGCAACACAGCUGCAAAAGACUAAUGUUGAAUGAAGCAUGAGUGGAAUUUAGACUGUGAAGCUCAUGUAUCCAUGCCUUCUGAUAUUUCCUUAAGAAAAUAAGGUAUGUCUGCACAUGUGAUUUUGACCAUAAUUUCUUACACCGUAACAGUGAAGAUGUCAUUGCAAGUGGAAAUACAGAAAAAUACAAGAGGAGAAUUACUGGCUCUGCUUAGUAAGCGAAGAUCGCAAGAGCUGGGCUUUGAUUGCAUUCAGCGUCAGGGCCAUGGAAGUGACUGUUUCUGAAUCUGCUGUGACAGAGCAUUCAAGCAUAGGGGACCUCUCAAAUCUUUUAAUUUCUUCGGGAGGGAUAUAGUAGGCCUGAGGCCUCCAUCGCGGAGGCAGGUGGAGCCAUGGUGGUUGGUGGAUAAAGGCCGGCUGGACACAACCAUGCUGGCCAGGAUAACGAGACAGAAGAUAUGGGAUUGAUGUGUACAAAGGCAAGGAACAAGAUAAAGAUCUUCAAAUGAGCAAUCCAUGAAGGAUGACCGAUUGCGCUGAAUAGAGAGGAAAGCAAUGCACAUGGGUGGCUCGAGCCAAGAAGUGGUCCUCAAGAAGCAUCUCGAGACAUCUCGAUAUUCAACUCAUGCAAGAAGACCCAAUGGAAGCAUAAAAGAAGAGUGUUCUUCCUCGAAGCAAGUACAAUCGGGUGAUUGGCAAUCCAUCCUAGGAAAUGAUCACCAUAGCAGGCUGCUGGAACAAAGAUGAGAGAGAGAGAUACCAUCACCACCAGAUGUGAACAUGGAGAUGUCACAGGACUUAGCAACUCUACUGAUAUGUCACCUGUCUUGUGGAAAUAGAGAGCUGUUCUCUGCAGUCAUAUUGCAUAGUUUCUGUCAGUGAUGGCUUAUAUCAUGACAACACUCUUCCGGGGAUCUGUAAUCAAAUUUAGAUUUGGAUUCCA
Long non-coding RNA from Musa acuminata AAA Group (dessert banana), 1144 nucleotides. RefSeq lists it as uncharacterized. The transcript is spliced from 3 exons. NCBI's taxonomy places the organism in Eukaryota, Viridiplantae, Streptophyta, Magnoliopsida, Zingiberales, Musaceae. The record is from RefSeq and is a predicted model, not a curated record.